UCGUCUAUAUACGUAUAGCAUAUCAAUAAGCGGAGGAAAAGAAACUAACUAGGAUUCCCUCAGUAACGGCGAGUGAAGCGGGAAGAGCUCAAAUUUGAAAUCUUCAAGGUUUUACCUUGACGAAUUGUAGUUUAAAGAAGUGUUUUCUGUUGGAAUUUUGGUAAAAGUUCUUUGGAAAAAGACAUCAAAGAGGGUGAGAAUCCCGUAUUUGACCAUUAUUUCCAGCUUUGUGAUACACUUUCAAAGAGUCGGAUUGUUUGGGAAUGCAGUCCAAAAUGGGUGGUAAAUUUCAUCUAAAGCUAAAUACUGGCGAGAGACCGAUAGCGAACAAGUACCGUGAGGGAAAGAUGAAAAGAACUUUGAAAAGAGAGUUAAACAGUACGUGAAAUUGUCAAAAGGGAAGCGUUUGACACCAGUGUUGUUUUCUCGAAAAUCAAUUAAAAAAGAUUGGAUUUUGUGUUGUAUUGACUUUAUCAGCUUUCUGCACUCUUUUCUUGUCUUUUUUAAUGCACUUUUCGUUUAACAAGUCAACAUCAAUUUCUUUUGUUGUAAAAGGGUCAUUGGAAGGUGGCUUUCUUUUCGGAGAAAGCGUUUAUAGCCUUUGACUUCUGCAAUAGGAGAGAUUGAGGUCUGCAGCGUAGAUCCUUCGGGGUUAGAUGCAUUUGUGCUAAGUUAUAGCCUUUCAUAGACAACUUGUUGACUAUGAUCAGUCAUGUAGCUUACUCGCUUAUGUUAUUUUACCUACGCUUAGGAUGUUGACGAUCAGCUGAGCGCG
Molecule: ribosomal RNA, 775 nt
Filed under: uncultured Neocallimastigales
Lineage: Eukaryota; Fungi; Neocallimastigomycota; Neocallimastigomycetes; Neocallimastigales
Description: partial large subunit ribosomal RNA
Rfam family: Eukaryotic large subunit ribosomal RNA
Source: RNAcentral